Molecule: ribosomal RNA, 482 nt
Filed under: uncultured bacterium
Lineage: Bacteria
Description: partial 16S ribosomal RNA
Rfam family: Bacterial small subunit ribosomal RNA
Source: RNAcentral
AUUGAACGCUGGCGGCAUGCCUUACACAUGCAAGUCGAACGGUAACAGGUCUUCGGAUGCUGGCGAGUGGCGUACGGGUGAGUAAUACAUCGGAACGUGCCCAGACGUGGGGGGUAACGAGGCGAAAGCUUUGCUAAUACCGCAUACGAUCUAAGGAUGAAAGCAGGGGACCGCAAGGCCUUGUGCGUUUGGAGCGGCCGAUGGCAGAUUAGGUAGUUGGUGGGAUAAAAGCUUACCAAGCCGACGAUCUGUAGCUGGUCUGAGAGGACGACCAGCCACACUGGGACUGAGACACGGCCCAGACUCCUACGGGAGGCAGCAGUGGGGAAUUUUGGACAAUGGGCGAAAGCCUGAUCCAGCAAUGCCGCGUGCAGGAUGAAGGCCUUCGGGUUGUAAACUGCUUUUGUACGGAACGAAAAGGCUCUGGCUAAUACCUGGGGCACAUGACGGUACCGGAAGAAUAAGCACCGGCUAACUACGUG